CGAACAAGAGCCUUGGAACGGUGGUGGCCGAUUAGACUCUGGCGCGCGAGUUCGUGUUGGGUACUCUCGUUCCAAUGCGUUUUAAAAGAGAAUGCAAUCGUCCGCCUUGAAUAUUAUUCAUGUUCUGGUUAAAAAAGGCACUAAUGAUUUAUGCUAUACAACGUUUGACAUGUUUGAACGAACGUAAAUAUUUUUCCCCCCUCGUUUAUGAAGACAAGUCCGGAGGGCAUAGAUCAUGUGCUAACAACACGGAGCUUUUUGAACAUAAAUUAUGAGUUUUUUCGAACAAAACUACAUUUGUUAUGGACCUGGGAUUCCUGGAAGUGACAUCUGAUGAAGAGAAUCAAAGCUGCUUUGCCGAGUUACAUCAGGCAAGGCUUUCUGGAGGCACUGUCAAUGCUAAGAAAAAGGAAAAGAUGAAAAUCCUUCAAACAGUCAAGCGCUGUCUCUCCGUUGUCAAUGAGGACUAUGAGGACGACGGUGAACAGGAUGCCCAUGAAUGUGUGUUGCUCCUCCUCUUUCAGCUGAAGGAGGAGGGUAUGGCAUUAAAGGGCUCCCCAGAGCCAUACACCUGCCCCGUGAAGCAGUUAGAAUUCAAGCUGAAGACUUUC
RNAcentral lists this long non-coding RNA (611 nucleotides) under Salmo salar (Atlantic salmon). RNAcentral's name for it is "lncRNA (ENSSSAG00000119450.1)". The record is from RNAcentral. Lineage: Eukaryota; Metazoa; Chordata; Actinopteri; Salmoniformes; Salmonidae.